This 255-nucleotide ribosomal RNA is filed under the name uncultured bacterium. RNAcentral's name for it is "partial 16S ribosomal RNA". It matches the Rfam family "Bacterial small subunit ribosomal RNA", at positions 524 to 776 of the family's 1533-position model. The record is from RNAcentral.
UACGGGGGGAGCAAGCGUUGUUCGGAUUUACUGGGCGUAAAGGGCGCGUAGGCGGCCUCUGCACGUCGACUGUGAAAUCUCCGGGCUUAACCCGGAAAGGUCAGCCGAUACUGCAGGGCUAGAGUGCAGAAGGGGCAACUGGAAUUCUCGGUGUAGCGGUGAAAUGCGUAGAUAUCGAGAGGAACACCUGCGGCGAAGGCGGGUUGCUGGGCUGACACUGACGCUGACAGCGCGAAAGCUAGGGGAGCGAACGGG